Molecule: ribosomal RNA, 119 nt
Filed under: Nelumbo nucifera (sacred lotus)
Lineage: Eukaryota; Viridiplantae; Streptophyta; Magnoliopsida; Proteales; Nelumbonaceae
Also listed under: 1 other name
Source: RNAcentral
GGGUGCGAUCAUACCAGCACUAAUGCACCGGAUCCCAUCAGAACUCCGAAGUUAAGCAUGCUUGGGCGAGAGUAGUACUAGGAUGGGUGACCUCCUGGGAAGUCCUCGUGUUGCACCCC